GUCUAGGUAGCUCAGAGCGGUAGAGCAGCGAGCGCCAGCGGUCAUGUACGCGAACGCUCAUCCAUGCAGGUCGCGGGUUCGAGCCCGCCCUAGACC
This 96-nucleotide transfer RNA is filed under the name Pseudomonas aeruginosa. Its description in RNAcentral is "tRNA-OTHER". The record is from RNAcentral. Lineage: Bacteria; Pseudomonadati; Pseudomonadota; Gammaproteobacteria; Pseudomonadales; Pseudomonadaceae.